AUGAGUUCACAUAACUAAGUCACCCAGAUAGGGUCUAAAUGUUCUCUGAAAUUUAAGUUAAGGAAACCUACUGCUACCUCUCCCUAUCUACUUCUAAAGCACAUGAUGCUAGGGAUAGGGUAAAAUUGUAUUUCUUGUUUAAGUGAGUUUGGGAAAUCUUAAGUUACCUCCAGGGGAAUUUUCUCAAGCACUGACAUUUCUCCAAUACUGCCACCCAGGAAAAUUGGUAGUGACAUGAUAUAUUAUCAUCACAUGCCUUUCCCAGAAUGGUCAAUGACAACCUUGACAACAGAGACUGAGGCACACUCUAGAUAUUACAAGGUAAAUAUAGCAUUUGUUUUAAUAUACUUCUUCAUUAUUUUAAAUCAAUAAUAAUUAAUAAAGUAGUUUUAAUAGAAAAAAAAUUUCUUAGUUCUAAAGGUAAACAUGAGUAUGUAAUCCACUGGAUUUUUUUUUAGCUAUAUGAAAGUAGACAUAUGCUCAACUUUGCUCAGUUUCACUUCUUUUUUUCCUUAAUUAAUAAAAUAAGAAUGAAAUAGUGUAUCCAUUCUUAAUUGUGAUUUUAAUUGAUGCAAAGAUCAAAUAAUAUAUAUAUGAUUUUUGAUACUAUAGUUAUGAUAGUCUAGAAAAAAAUGAUACUAGAAAUCCUAGUUUGUAUAGUAGCAUGCAAUUUACAUAGGGAUUUCAUUUAUGUUUGAAAGUGAAUGUUAGUAAAAAUCUGAGUUAAAUAUUUAUGCAAAUAUUUUAUACUAUAUUUCAUAAAGAAGAAAUGAGAAGGUUAAAAGGUAAAUGAUGUAUUUUAGUCACAUUGGUUAAGUGGCAGAAUUAAGGGUUAGUACUGACAUUUCUAACUCAGUGAUCUUUUGCUAUGAGAAAAAGCCUUUCCAUUUUAUUUAUUGCCUAAUAAUUGAUAGAAGUGAAUGUUGGAGUUUUAUGGAGGAAUGUAUAUAGCAAGUUAGUUAAUAUCAAUAAAAAAGCAUUCAGAUCCUCAUUAUGUGAAUGUCACCAGGCCAAGCACUUUACAUGCAUCAUCAUAUACAAUUUUUGUGAUAUGUCUACAGCAAUCGUGGUUUGAAUCUGAAAUGUUCUUCAACAUCUCAAGUGUUCAGAGGCAAAGCUUUAGGAACAUGAUUAGAUCCUGUGGGCUCUGAUCUUAUCAAUGGAUUAAUCUGGGAAGUGGUCCCUAGAUGAAGGACCUAGGUCACUGGGGCCAUGCCCUGGAAGCAUUUAAUUACUCUCUAGUUUCUCCCCCUACCCCUCUUUGUCUUUCCCUCCCAGUUGCUCUGAGGCAAGCAGUUUUCUUCUGCCACAUUCUUUUGCCAUGAUGUUCUGCCUCACCUUAGGGCCAAAUCGAUGGAACCACCAACCUGGGAAAAAAAAAUCUUAUGAAGCUGUGAAUAAAAAUAAAUCUUUCUUUUUCUAAGUUGUGUUUUCAGAUAUUUUGGUCACAGCAUAGAAAAGUUGAAUAGUGCAGAAAACAUAUUUUCAACACAUGAGCUUUAGGGAGAUACUUCAGAUUGGAAUCAUAACAUGUACUUAAAAUUUUAUUCUUUGGAAUAUAUUUGAAUGAGUAGUGAUAAGAUUAAACAGCUGUUUUCUGGGUUCUAUCAUAAAAAUACAGUUUUACAUGGUGAAAAUAUUUUGCUCUCUCUCAAAGUUCUCCUUAAGAUCCCGAACUCUUUAAAUUCAAAAUGGUAGGACAGCAGAAAAAAAUAUAUAUUUUUAAAAUUUUGUAAAAUUGGUAUAUUUAUUUUAUAAGCAAAUAUUUUACUUUUUUAUUUCUAUGAAUUUAUUGCAAUAAUGAUAUCAUUAGUUGAUAGAGAAUAAGUUUUGAAUACAAUUUUUUUAAACUUUUAAAAUUUUAAUUGUUAUAUAUGACAACAGAAUGCAUUAUAAUUCAUAUUACACAUAAAGAACACAAUUUUUCCUAUCUUUUGUUGUACACAAAGUAGAGUCACAUCCUUCAUGUCUUCAUACAUGUACUUAGGGUAAUGAUGACCAUUGCAUUCCACCAUCUUUCCUAUGCCUGUGUCCCCUCCCAUUCCCUCCUUCUCCAUUUCCCCUUUUUCUUAUUUAGAGUUUAUCUAAUCUUCCUUCCCCUGCAGCAUAUUAUGAGUCAGCAUCCUUAAAUCAGAGAAAUCAUUCAGCUUUUAGUUUUUUGGGAUUGGCUUGCUUCACUUAGCAUUAUAUUCUCCAGCUCCAUCCAUUUACCUGCAAAUGCCAUAAUUUUAUUCUCUUUUAAUUUUGAGAAAUGUAAUAUUGUGUAUAUAUACCAAAGUUUCCCUAUCCAUUCAUCUACUGAAGAGCAUUUGGGUUUGUUCCACAAUUUAGCUAUUGUGAAUUGUGCUGUUUUAAACAUUGAUGUGGCUGUGUCCCUGUAGUAUGCUUUUUUAAGUCCUUUGAGUAGACCAAGGAGUGGGAUAACUGGGUCAAUUGGUAAUUCCAUUCCAAGUUUUCCAAGAAUUCUCCAUAUACUGCUUUCCAGAAUGGCUGCACCAAUUUGCAGUCCCACAAGCAAUGUAUGAGUGUGCCUUUUCCUCCCACAUCCUUGUCAACAUUUACUAUUGUUUGUAUUCUUAAUAGCUGCCAUUCUAACUGGAGUGAGAUAAAAUCUUGGAGUAGUUUUGAUUUGCAUUUCUCUAAUUGGUAGAGUUGUUGAACAUUUUUUCAUGUUUGUUUAUUGAUUGUAUAUUCGCUUCUGAGAAGUGUCCAAUUUCUUGGCCCAUUUGUUGACUGGGUUAUUUGUUUUUUUGGUGUUAAGAUUUUUGAGUAUGUGUAACUAAUUAAAACAAAUAAAAAUUUAUAAAAAACGAUUUUGAGUGCCUUAUAUUUACUAGAGAUUAAUGAUCUAUCUGAUGUGCUUGUGUAAAGAUUUGCUCCCAUUCUGUAGGCUCUCUAUUUACCUCAGUAAUUGUUUCUUUUGCUGAGAAGUUUUUUUUGGUUUUAAUCCAUCCCAUUUAUUGAUUCUUGGUUUUAAUUAUUGUGCUAUAGGACUCUUAUUAAGGAAGUUGGGACCUAAUCCCACAUGAUGAAGAUUUGGCCGAUUUUUUUCAUCUAAUAGACGCAGUGUCUCUGGUUUAAUUCCUAGGUCCUUGAUCCACUUUGAAUUGAAUUUUGUGCAUGGUGAGAGAUAGGGGUUUAAUUUCAUUUUGUUGCAUAUGGAUUUUCAAUUUUCCUAGCACCAUUUGUUGAAGAGGCUAUCUUUUCUCCAAUGUACAUUUUUGGUGCCUUUGUCAAGUAUAAGAUAACUAUAAUUAUGUGCAUUAGUCUCUGUGUUCUCUAUUCUGUACCAUUGGUUUACAAAUAUAUUUUGGUGCCAAUACCAUGCUGUUUUUGUUACUAAUGCUCUUUAGUAUAGUUUGAGGUCUGGUAUAGUGAUGCCACCUCUUCUUGCUAAGGAUUGCUUUAUUAUGGGUCUCUUAUUUUUUUCCAGGUGAAUUUUGUGACUGCUUUUUCCAUUUAUAUGAGAUGUGGAUUGUGAUUGGAAUUGCAUAGGUAUAGUGCUAUUGGUAGUAUGGUCAUUUUGACUUAAAGAUAAGAACCACAUGAUCAUCUCAAUAAAUGAAGAAAAAGCAUUUAACAAAAUACUGCACCCUUUUCAUGUUCAAAACAUUAGAAAAAUUGGGGAUAACAGGAACAUAUCUCAUUAACACAAAAGCUAUCUAUGCUAAGCCCCAAGUCAACAUCAUUCUAAGUGGAGAAAAAUUGAAAGCAUUCCCUCUAAAAAUUGGAACAAGACAGGGAUGCCCUCUUUCACCACUUCUAUUAAACAUAGUUUUGGAACACUGGCCAGAGCAAUUAGACAGACAAAAGAAAUUAAUGGGAUAUAGAUAAGUAAAGAAGAACUCAAAUUGGUACUAUUUUCUGAUGAUGUGAUUGUAAACCUAAAAGACCCAAAAAAUUUCACCAGAAAACUUCUAGAACUAGUAAAUGCAUUCAGCAAAGUAGGUAGGUAGAACUAGAACUAGAACUGUUGUGUUGCUGCAUGUUACCUCCAUGUUGUGCAGGUGAUUCAUUAACACUAAAUAUGUUUUUUUUUCAGUUACUUUAUCUUUGUAUCAAAUUAGGUUGAUAGAAAAUCAACACCUGUAAAUCAAAGACAUUUCUGUUUUUCAGUGACAAAUCCUCUAAAAGGAAAUGAGGAAAACUACCCCAUUUACAGUAGUAUUAAAAAAAAUGAGAAUCAACUUAACAAAAGAGGUGAAACACCUUUACAAUGAAAACUACAGAAUGCUAAAGAAAGAAAUUAAAGAAGACCUUAGAAGAUGGAAAGAUCUACCUUGUUCUUGUAUAGGCAGAAUUAAUAUUGAAUACAAUUAAAAAAAUA
RNAcentral lists this long non-coding RNA (4327 nucleotides) under Marmota monax (woodchuck). The record is from RNAcentral. Lineage: Eukaryota; Metazoa; Chordata; Mammalia; Rodentia; Sciuridae.